RNAcentral lists this transfer RNA (57 nucleotides) under Odocoileus virginianus texanus. It matches the Rfam family "tRNA", at positions 8 to 63 of the family's 71-position model. From Rfam's summary of the family: Transfer RNA (tRNA) molecules are approximately 80 nucleotides in length. Their secondary structure includes four short double-helical elements and three loops (D, anti-codon, and T loops). RNAcentral also lists the same sequence under 1 other name. The record is from Rfam by way of RNAcentral. Lineage: Eukaryota; Metazoa; Chordata; Mammalia; Artiodactyla; Cervidae.
UGGCUCAGAGGUUAAAGCAUCUGCCUCUAAUGCAGGAGACCCGGGUUCGAUCCCUGG